This 468-nucleotide ribosomal RNA is filed under the name uncultured bacterium. RNAcentral describes it as "partial 16S ribosomal RNA". It matches the Rfam family "Bacterial small subunit ribosomal RNA", at positions 28 to 507 of the family's 1533-position model. The record is from RNAcentral.
GACGAACGCUGGCGGCGUGCUUAACACAUGCAAGUCGAACGGAAAGGCACUGCGUUUGUGCUGUGCUCGAGUGGCGAACGGGUGAGUGACACGUGAGUAACCUGCCCUUGACUUUGGGAUAACUUCAGGAAACUGGGGCUAAUACCGGAUAGGAGCUGCUGUUGCAUGGUGGGGGUUGGAAAGUCUCGGCGGUUGGGGCUGGAUGCGCGGCUUAUCAGCUUGUUGGUUGGGUAGUGGCAUACCCAGGCUGUGGCGGGUAGCCGGCCUGGGAGGGUGAACGGCGACCUUGCGACUGCGGUACGGAGCAGACUCGAACGGGAGGCAGCAGUGGGAAAUAUGACACAAUGGGAGGAAGCGUGAUGCAGAAACGCUGGGGUCGGGAUGACGGCUUUCUGGUUGUGAACAGCUUUAGCUUGUGACGAAGCGUGAGUGACGGUAAUGGGUAAAGAAGCACCGGCUAACUACGUG